RNAcentral lists this ribosomal RNA (329 nucleotides) under uncultured eukaryote. RNAcentral's name for it is "partial 18S ribosomal RNA". It matches the Rfam family "Eukaryotic small subunit ribosomal RNA", at positions 1470 to 1796 of the family's 1831-position model. The record is from RNAcentral.
CCCUUAGAUGUCCUGGGCCGCGCGCGCGCUACACUGAGUGUCUGAGAUACGAGUCUGCCUGGUCCGGCAAGGUCUAGGUAAUCGCUAAAAGACACAUCAUGCUUGGGAUAGAUUAUUGCAAAUAUUAAUCUUGAACGAGGAAUUCCUAGUAAGCGCAAGUCAACAGCUUGCGUUUAUUACGUCCCUGCCCUUUGUACACACCGCCCGUCGCUACUACUGAUUGGAUGUUUAAGCGAGGUUCUCGAACUGCUAGCGACUUAGCUUCGGUGAGGUCGCAGUGUGGGAAGUGAACCUAGCUUUGGUGUCUAGAGGAAGUAAAAGUCGUAACA